GUAAGGAAUAUUGGACAAUGGGCGGAAGCCUGAUCCAGCCAUGCCGCGUGAAGGAUGAAGGCGCUCUGCGUUGUAAACUUCUUUUGGACGGGAACAAUAACUUCGAUGCGUCGGAGCUUGAGGGUACCGUCAGAAUAAGCACCGGCUAACUCCGUGCCAGCAGCCGCGGUAAUACGGAGGGUGCAAGCGUUAUCCGGAAUCACUGGGUUUAAAGGGUGCGUAGGCGGUCUGAUAAGUCAGUCGUGAAAUCGCUGGGCUUAACCUUUGCAACUGCGAUUGAUACUGUUAGACUUGAAUGAGAUUGAGGCAGGCGGAAUGUGGCAUGUAGCGGUGAAAUGCUUAGAUAUGCCAUAGAACACCAAUUGCGAAGGCAGCCUGCUGGGCCUUUAUUGACGCUGAGGCACGAAAGCGUGGGGAGCAAA
This 422-nucleotide ribosomal RNA is filed under the name Bacteroidetes bacterium SCGC AAA487-A10. RNAcentral's name for it is "bacterial SSU rRNA". It matches the Rfam family "Bacterial small subunit ribosomal RNA", at positions 354 to 772 of the family's 1533-position model. Lineage: Bacteria; Pseudomonadati; Bacteroidota. The record is from RNAcentral.